RNAcentral lists this unclassified non-coding RNA (368 nucleotides) under uncultured fungus. RNAcentral describes it as "sequence contains ITS1". The stretch from base 1 to 105 matches the Rfam family "5.8S ribosomal RNA", at positions 50 to 154 of the family's 154-position model. Lineage: Eukaryota; Fungi. The record is from RNAcentral.
GAAAUGCGAUACGUAGUGUGAAUUGCAGAAUUCCGUGAACCAUCGAAUCUUUGAACGCAUAUUGCGCUCGAGGCUUCGGCCAAGAGCAUGUCUGCCUCAGCGUCGGUUUAUACCCUCGCUCCACCCCCCUUGGGGGGCGGUUUGCGCCUUGCAAGCCAGGAGCGGAUCUGGCCUCCCCAAACUGCGCAAGCAGGUUGGGUUGGCUGAAGUGCAGAGGCUAGAGCUAGGACCCUUUGGGCCUCAACUGGAUAGGUAGCACCUGCUUCGGCAGACUACACGAAGUUGUGGCUGCGGUCCUUGCUGGCGGCCAGCAGGAAAACACUUAAACCUUCGACCUGAGCUCAGGCAAGACUACCCGCUGAACUUAA